This 468-nucleotide ribosomal RNA is filed under the name uncultured bacterium. RNAcentral describes it as "partial 16S ribosomal RNA". It matches the Rfam family "Bacterial small subunit ribosomal RNA", at positions 28 to 507 of the family's 1533-position model. The record is from RNAcentral.
GACGAACGCUGGCGGCGUGCCUAACACAUGCAAGUCGAACGGAAAGGCCCUGAUUUUGUGGGGUGCCCGAGUGGCGAACGGGUGAGUAAAACGUGAGUAACCUGCCCUUGACUUUGGGAUAACUUCAGGAAACUGGGGAUAAUACCGGAUAUGAGCUCCUGCUGCAUGGUGGGGGUUGGAAAGUUUCGGCGGCUGGUGAUGGACUCGCGGCUUAUCAGUUUGGUGGGGGGGUAGUGGCCUACCAAGGCUUUGACUGGUAGCCGGCCUUAGGGGGUGAGCGGCCACAUGGGGACUGAGAUACGGCCCAGACGGCUACGGGCGGCAUUGGUGGGGAGUAUUGCGGAAUGAGGCGGAGCCAGAUGCAGCGGCGGCGCGUUCGGAAUGACGGCCUUCGGGGUUUAAAGCGCUGUCGCCUGAGACGAGGCGUGAGGGACGGUAAUGGGUAGAGAAGCACCGGCUAACUACGUG